GGAGGGGGGCAGACGCUAGGAAUUUAUCCGCUGAGGGGGAGGGGCGGGGGCGAAGGGGAAGGGGCGCGUGGGUGUUACCCCGAGCAACUUGACUGUAACUUGCCGAGUGGAGAGCGUAACCCAGCAGCCCCUCCGGGCUGGGGAGGGACAACGUCAUCCCAAGCCCCCGCCUAGGACUCUCCCUUCUACACCGUUUGGUUGCCCAGGAGAGGGACAGGGCAGAGCCCAGCUGGGACUCAGAGGGUUUCACUGAGGGGGUGGUCAAAGGCGCCUAAACUCCCAGGCUGAAACCAAGCUCCUCCUCUCUCCAUUUUCUCUCCUUUGUUGUCCGGGGCCAGUGUCUAGGGACUUAGCUGGGGCUAGUCGCGGGUCCGUGCCCAACUCCUCUCAGUACAAAUCCUUCCCAAUACCCCAUCUCCACCCCCUAGCAGUGGGCAAAGCUGGCGCUUCCACCACCGCGGAAUAAUCGAAUGCUUCUCUUUUCUCCUCAGUUUCAGAGGGCUCUGCGCUACCUCCCAAGGAUAAGCAGGAAGAUGCCCCUGGCUAAAAUCCCACUGGGGCUCAGGGGUCCGGGGUGGACGAUGGAGGAGGAAGGAGACCACAACAGAGCUGGGAAUUAAAUGCACCCUCUGUGACCCGUCUGCCAGUUAAUUUCUGCUUCUCCAUUCCCGCAAACUAGGUAAUGCUUCGUCUCCAUACCUUCCUAGUAGGGGAGCAAAGCAGGAAGGAAGAUCAAUAUAGAUUCCUCGGGGAAUCUUGGUCCUGAAAGAGAUGCCCAUGUUCAUGUUCACCUUAGUAAAGAAGCCCUAGUCCUUAAAUAAGCCCCCGUUUCCCAUUAUACCUCCCACCCCAUCUCUCCCUACAACUCUCAGCUUCCCAGAGGGCGAACCCGAGGUCCCAAAGGACCUCAGAGAAGUUCACAACAUGGGGAGGGGGAGGCAUGGAAUUUAUCUUUUCCCCUUUUCUCCAACUCAGUUUCAACACAGACCCUUUUCCCCUCUCGUCUCUUCUCUUAAAGCCCACCCUACCCGUAAAGCGAAAACCCUUCAUCUGCGCCGCUGGAAAAUUACAGCAGAAAGUCAAAAAAGUAUUUUCCCAGCUACUGGAAAGAGGACUCAAGGGGGAGGGUACUCACCGCCCAGCAGCUGCUUGCAGCUGCUUCUCCUUUCUCCCUCCUACUCUCCUAAACACCUAGUUGGAGGGCUGCAGCUGCGGCCAGGGACUAGGCAACGUCGUGGGCUCCCGGUGCCCCCCAGCAACAGCUGCUGCUGCUGUGGCUGCUGCAACCUCUUUCCUCUUCCCGGGGAGCGUAGAGUCUCUCAGCUCUCAUACAAACCAGCCUCCCUUACCCGCUCGGUGCUCGGCAACCCAUGA
Molecule: long non-coding RNA, 1374 nt
Filed under: Monodelphis domestica (gray short-tailed opossum)
Lineage: Eukaryota; Metazoa; Chordata; Mammalia; Didelphimorphia; Didelphidae
Description: lncRNA (ENSMODG00000045605.1)
Source: RNAcentral